GAUGAACGCUGGCGGCGUGCCUAAUACAUGCAAGUCGAGCGAACGGACGAGAAGCUUGCUUCUCUGAUGUUAGCGGCGGACGGGUGAGUAACACGUGGAUAACCUACCUAUAAGACUGGGAUAACUUCGGGAAACCGGAGCUAAUACCGGAUAAUAUUUUGAACCGCAUGGUUCAAAAGUGAAAGACGGUCUUGCUGUCACUUAUAGAUGGAUCCGCGCUGCAUUAGCUAGUUGGUAAGGUAACGGCUUACCAAGGCAACGAUGCAUAGCCGACCUGAGAGGGUGAUCGGCCACACUGGAACUGAGACACGGUCCAGACGCCUACGGGAGGCAGCAGUAGGGAAUCUUCCGCAAUGGGCGAAAGCCUGACGGAGCAACGCCGCGUGAGUGAUGAAGGUCUUCGGAUCGUAAAACUCUGUUAUUAGGGAAGAACAUAUGUGUAAGUAACUGUGCACAUCUUGACGGUACCUAACCAGAAAGCCACGGCUAACUACGUG
This 497-nucleotide ribosomal RNA is filed under the name uncultured bacterium. RNAcentral describes it as "partial 16S ribosomal RNA". It matches the Rfam family "Bacterial small subunit ribosomal RNA", at positions 28 to 507 of the family's 1533-position model. The record is from RNAcentral.